AAUCUUCCGCAAUGGACCAGAGUCUGACGGAGCAACGCCGCGUGUGUGCAGAUGGUUUUCGGAUUGUAAAACCUUGUUGUCGGAGAAGAAGAAGUAGGACAGUAACCCUUCCUACCUUGUCGGUACCCGACCAUAAAGCCACCGCUACCUACGUGCCAGCAGCCGCGGUAAUACUUAGGUUGCAAGCGUUCUCCGGAUUUCUUGGGCGUAAAGCGAGCGGAGGUGGUUUAUUAAGUCUGAUGUGAAAGCCGAGGGCUCAACCGGGGAAGGUCAUUGAAAACUGGGGAACUUGAAUGCAGAAGAGGAGAGUGGAAUUCCAUGUGUAGCGGUGAAAUGCGUAGAUAUAUGGAGGAACACCAGUGGCGAAGGCGACUCUCUGGUCUGUUAUUGACACUGAGGCUCGAAAGCGUGGGGAGCAAAC
Molecule: ribosomal RNA, 421 nt
Filed under: uncultured bacterium
Lineage: Bacteria
Description: partial 16S ribosomal RNA
Rfam family: Bacterial small subunit ribosomal RNA
Source: RNAcentral